GUACUCACUCCAGCAGCACAUAUACUGAAAUUGGAUGAAUACAGAGAAGAUGAGCAUGGUCCCUGCACAAGGAUGGCAUGCAAAUUCGUGAAACAUUUUAUAGUUUU
Small nuclear RNA from Psammomys obesus (fat sand rat), 107 nucleotides. The record is from RefSeq and is a predicted model, not a curated record. Lineage: Eukaryota; Metazoa; Chordata; Mammalia; Rodentia; Muridae.